GACGAACGCUGGCGGCGUGCUUAACACAUGCAAGUCGAACGGUGAAGCGCCUUCCUUUUUGGUGGGUGUGGAUGAGUGGCGAACGGGUGAGUAACACGUGAGUAACCUGCCCCCUUCUUCUGGAUAACCGCAUGAAAGUGUGGCUAAUACGGGAUAUUCUGGGUCUGUCGCAUGAUGGGUCUGGGAAAGAUAUUGUUUCGGUGGGGGAUGGGCUCGCGGCCUAUCAGCUUGUUGGUGGGGUGAUGGCCUACCAAGGCGGUGACGGGUAGCCGGCCUGAGAGGGUGGACGGUCACACUGGGACUGAGACACGGCCCAGACUUCUACGGGAGGCAGCAGUGGGGAAUAUUGCACAAUGGGCGCAAGCCUGAUGCAGCGACGCCGCGUGAGGGAUGGAGGCCUUCGGGUUGUGAACCUCUUUCGCCAGUGAAGCAGGCCUGCCUCGUUUGUGGGUGGGUUGACGGUAGCUGGAUAAGAAGCGCCGGCUAACUACGUG
RNAcentral lists this ribosomal RNA (494 nucleotides) under uncultured bacterium. RNAcentral's name for it is "partial 16S ribosomal RNA". It matches the Rfam family "Bacterial small subunit ribosomal RNA", at positions 28 to 507 of the family's 1533-position model. The record is from RNAcentral.